Long non-coding RNA from Etheostoma cragini (Arkansas darter), 447 nucleotides. RefSeq lists it as uncharacterized. Lineage: Eukaryota; Metazoa; Chordata; Actinopteri; Perciformes; Percidae. The record is from RefSeq and is a predicted model, not a curated record. The transcript has 2 exons.
UACAUAUUACAUCUUCCUCUUGUGUACAAAUGCACAUUCAUUGGAAUCUGAAUCACCGGCAGAUACCAGCAAUCACAACCCAAACCUCACUGGUCAGCGUUGUUUCUCACUUUUUACUCACACAGUUAGUGACGUGCUGAUUGUGUGACGAUGUCGUGUCGUGUAAUUGGUUUUGCAUAACUCCUGCUUCUCUUUUCCACACACACUCUCUCAUCUUGCAUCUCUUUUGGCUUCCAGCGCCAUAAUGGCCACUGUACAAGCAUGUGGGCGUCCAUCAGGGGAACCAAACUCUUGGAGCAAUUGGGAAUCCCCUGCUAAACGGCUUCUUUGAUAAACGAAAGGUAGAGAGCUGCACCCAGCAGAUGGUACGUGGUGAGUGGAUAAGGGCUGAACAUGACAGAUUACUAUUAACUCAUGUUGUGCAGAAUAAAGGAGGCUUAAAACAUG